RNAcentral lists this ribosomal RNA (509 nucleotides) under uncultured bacterium. Its description in RNAcentral is "bacterial SSU rRNA". It matches the Rfam family "Bacterial small subunit ribosomal RNA", at positions 988 to 1508 of the family's 1533-position model. The record is from RNAcentral.
GCAGAUGAAUUACGGUGAAAGCCGUAAGCCGCAAGGCAUCUGUGAAGGUGCUGCAUGGUUGUCGUCAGCUCGUGCCGUGAGGUGUCGGCUUAAGUGCCAUAACGAGCGCAACCCUUGUUGUCAGUUACUAACAGGUUCCGCUGAGGACUCUGACAAGACUGCCAUCGUAAGAUGUGAGGAAGGUGGGGAUGACGUCAAGUCAGCACGGCCCUUACGUCCGGGGCUACACACGUGUUACAAUGGGGGGUACAGAGGGCCGCUACCACGCGAGUGGAUGCCAAUCCCAAAAACCUCUCUCAGUUCGGACUGGAGUCUGCAACCCGACUCCACGAAGCUGGAUUCGCUAGUAAUCGCGCAUCAGCCACGGCGCGGUGAAUACGUUCCCGGGCCUUGUACACACCGCCCGUCAAGCCAUGGGAGCCGGGGGUACCUGAAGUGCGUAACCGCGAGGAGCGCCCUAGGGUAAAACUGGUGACUGGGGCUAAGUCGUAACAAGGUAGCCGUACCGG